GCCUACGUGGUGUAGCGGUCAGCACGCUUAACCGAGAGGUCCGUGGUUCGAUUCCUGGCGAAGGCU
This 66-nucleotide transfer RNA is filed under the name Stegodyphus mimosarum. It matches the Rfam family "tRNA". From Rfam's summary of the family: Transfer RNA (tRNA) molecules are approximately 80 nucleotides in length. Their secondary structure includes four short double-helical elements and three loops (D, anti-codon, and T loops). Lineage: Eukaryota; Metazoa; Arthropoda; Arachnida; Araneae; Eresidae. The record is from Rfam by way of RNAcentral.